GACGAACGCUGGCGGCGUGCUUAACACAUGCAAGUCGAACGGAAAGGCCCUGCUUUUGUGGGGUGCUCGAGUGGCGAACGGGUGAGUAACACGUGAGUAACCUGCCCUUGACUUUGGGAUAACUUCAGGAAACUGGGGCUAAUACCGGAUAGGAGCUCCUGCUGCAUGGUGGGGGUUGGAAAGUUUCGGCGGUUGGGGAUGGACUCGCGGCUUAUGAGCUUGUUGGUGGGGUAGUGGCUUACCAAGGCUUUGACGGGUAGCCGGCCUGAGAGGUGGACCGGCCACAUUGGGACUGAGAUACGGCCCAGACUCCUACGGGAGGCAGCAGUGGGGAAUAUUGCACAAUGGGCGGAAGCCUGAUGCAGCAACGCCGCGUGCGGGAUGACGGCCUUCGGGUUGUAAACCGCUUUCGCCUGUGACGAAGCGUGAGUGACGGUAAUGGGUAAAGAAGCACCGGCUAACUACGUG
Molecule: ribosomal RNA, 468 nt
Filed under: uncultured bacterium
Lineage: Bacteria
Description: partial 16S ribosomal RNA
Rfam family: Bacterial small subunit ribosomal RNA
Source: RNAcentral